UGUGACAUCACAAUGCUCCAAUGUGACAUCACAAUGCUCUAAUGUGCCAACACUAUGGCCCCAUGUGCCAUUAUUUUGCUCCAUUUUGCCAUCACAGUG
This 99-nucleotide microRNA precursor is filed under the name Nannospalax galili (Upper Galilee mountains blind mole rat). RNAcentral's name for it is "miRNA (ENSNGAG00000006005.1)". Lineage: Eukaryota; Metazoa; Chordata; Mammalia; Rodentia; Spalacidae. The record is from RNAcentral.